CAGCGACACUGUGUGUUGUUGGGUAGGGGAGCGUUCUGUAAGCCUGUGAAGGUGUGUCGUGAGGCAUGCUGGAGGUAUCAGAAGUGCGAAUGCUGACAUAAGUAACGAUAAAGCGGGUGAAAAGCCCGCUCGCCGGAAGACCAAGGGUUCCUGUCCAACGUUAAUCGGGGCAGGGUGAGUCGACCCCUAAGGCGAGGCCGAAAGGCGUAGUCGAUGGGAAACGGGUUAAUAUUCCCGUACUUGGUGUUACUGCGAAGGGGGGACGGAGAAGGCUAUGUUGGCCGGGCGACGGUUGUCCCGGUUUAAGCGUGUAGGUGUGUGUUCCAGGUAAAUCCGGUUCACUUUAACACUGAGGCGUGACGACGAGGCACUACGGUGCUGAAGCAACAAAUGCCCUGCUUCCAGGAAAAGCCUCUAAGCAUCAGGUAACAUCAAAUCGUACCCCAAACCGACACAGGUGGUCAGGUAGAGAAUACCAAGGCGCUUGAGAGAACUCGGGUGAAGGAACUAGGCAAAAUGGUGCCGUAACUUCGGGAGAAGGCACGCUGACACGUAGGUGAAGUGAUUUACUCAUGGAGCUGAAGUCAGUCGAAGAUACCAGCUGGCUGCAACUGUUUAUUAAAAACACAGCACUGUGCAAACACGAAAGUGGACGUAUACGGUGUGACGCCUGCCCGGUGCCGGAAGGUUAAUUGAUGGGGUCAGCGCAAGCGAAGCUCCUGAUCGAAGCCCCGGUAAACGGCGGCCGUAACUAUAACGGUCCUAAGGUAGCGAAAUUCCUUGUCGGGUAAGUUCCGACCUGCACGAAUGGCGUAAUGAUGGCCAGGCUGUCUCCACCCGAGACUCAGUGAAAUUGAACUCGCUGUGAAGAUGCAGUGUACCCGCGGCAAGACGGAAAGACCCCGUGAACCUUUACUAUAGCUUGACACUGAACAUUGAGCCUUGAUGUGUAGGAUAGGUGGGAGGCUUUGAAGUGUGGACGCCAGUCUGCAUGGAGCCGACCUUGAAAUACCACCCUUUAAUGUUUGAUGUUCUAACGUGGACCCGUUACCCGGGUUGCGGACAGUGUCUGGUGGGUAGUUUGACUGGGGCGGUCUCCUCCUAAAGAGUAACGGAGGAGCACGAAGGUUGGCUAAUCCUGGUCGGACAUCAGGAGGUUAGUGCAAUGGCAUAAGCCAGCUUGACUGCGAGCGUGACGGCGCGAGCAGGUGCGAAAGCAGGUCAUAGUGAUCCGGUGGUUCUGAAUGGAAGGGCCAUCGCUCAACGGAUAAAAGGUACUCCGGGGAUAACAGGCUGAUACCGCCCAAGAGUUCAUAUCGACGGCGGUGUUUGGCACCUCGAUGUCGGCUCAUCACAUCCUGGGGCUGAAGUAGGUCCCAAGGGUAUGGCUGUUCGCCAUUUAAAGUGGUACGCGAGCUGGGUUUAGAACGUCGUGAGACAGUUCGGUCCCUAUCUGCCGUGGGCGCUGGAGAACUGAGGGGGGCUGCUCCUAGUACGAGAGGACCGGAGUGGACGCAUCACUGGUGUUCGGGUUGUCAUGCCAAUGGCACUGCCCGGUAGCUAAAUGCGGAAGAGAUAAGUGCUGAAAGCAUCUAAGCACGAAACUUGCCCCGA
Molecule: ribosomal RNA, 1614 nt
Filed under: Salmonella enterica subsp. enterica serovar Enteritidis
Lineage: Bacteria; Pseudomonadati; Pseudomonadota; Gammaproteobacteria; Enterobacterales; Enterobacteriaceae
Description: partial 23S ribosomal RNA
Rfam family: Bacterial large subunit ribosomal RNA
Source: RNAcentral